Non-coding RNA from Paramuricea clavata, 453 nucleotides. The record is from the annotation of a GenBank genome assembly. Lineage: Eukaryota; Metazoa; Cnidaria; Anthozoa; Malacalcyonacea; Plexauridae.
AUUUUUUCUAACUUUAUUCAAACUUUUUAGAGUUGAAAACAGUUUAGAAGUAUUUAAAUUUCAUGGAUAAAAAGUGGGUUUUUAUCGAAAUUAUUUUGUCGAUAGGCGGGAUGCAAAAUGCACGACAAACGUCAUCAUCGGAAAAAUCAUCGGCUUAUUGCUUAUUGGCUGUUGAAAAAUCGGCAAAUUCCGAAGAAAAAUCAUUGACAGAGGUGACAGGGGGGAGCGGGAAAAUUUAAAUUCAGAAAGCUUUCCAGUCAACUUUUUGUCUAUAUAGACACAGAGGGCAGCAUUGAAAAGCACAUAUCCGAGCGCGAGUUGCGAAUUUAAAAUAGAAAAACAUAAGAACACAAUAAUGUAAAAUAAAAAGAAAGAACACACCGCUCUGGUAAGUAAAAAUUUAAUACUUAUACCAUGAAAAAAUAUCAGUUCAAUCUUCGUAAAACAAGCGAG